CAUUAACGAGUGAGGGUCUCAA
This 22-nucleotide ribosomal RNA is filed under the name Chaenotheca deludens. RNAcentral describes it as "partial 18S ribosomal RNA". Lineage: Eukaryota; Fungi; Ascomycota; Coniocybomycetes; Coniocybales; Coniocybaceae. The record is from RNAcentral.